Molecule: ribosomal RNA, 443 nt
Filed under: uncultured archaeon
Lineage: Archaea
Description: bacterial SSU rRNA
Rfam family: Archaeal small subunit ribosomal RNA
Source: RNAcentral
UUGCUAUUGGAGUCCGAUUUAGCCAUGCUAGUCGCGCGGGUUUAGACCCGCGGCAUAUAGCUCAGUAACACGUGGCCAAACUACCCUAUGGACAGGGACAACCUCGGGAAACUGAGGCUAAUCCCUGAUACAGCUCUCAUGCUGGAGUGCCGAGAGCUGGAAACGCCCCGGCGCCAUAGGAUGUGGCUGCGGCCGAUUAGGUAGAUGGUGGGGUAACGGCCCACCAUGCCAAUAAUCGGUACAGGUUGUGAGAGCAAGAGCCUGGAGACGGUAUCUGAGACAAGAUACCGGGCCCUACGGGGCGCAGCAGGCGCGAAACCUUUACACUGCACGACAGUGCGAUAAGGGGACUCCGAGUGCGAGGGCAUAUAGUCCUCGCUUUUCUGUACCGUAGGGAGGUACAGGAACAAGUGCUGGGCAAGACCGGUGCCAGCCGCCGCGGU